UGACCUUCUUCCUUAACAAGAGGGUGCUCCCCUUUGGUGAGCACUAACUAUGAAGAGGCAGGGUGCAAACUGUGAUCUCAUGGAAUCCUUCUGGCAGUGGGGUUCCGUCAUAGCAUCUUCAUUUUGCUGUUCAGAAGAACAAGCCUCCCUACAGCCACCUGCUGGAAGUCACACAGGUGGCAGGGUGUUGCCUCGCUCAGUUUUCAAGGGUUACACUCAGCAGAAAAAGCCUGCAUCGGACGCAUGUGUCCUGAGAGCAUUCUGAGACAGUCAUCCAACCAGUGCUCAGUCAACCCACCACUCCAUGACGCCUGUGCUGAGGGAUGCUGAGGACACUAAGGUGACCAAGACAGACUGUGCCCCACCCUCAUGAAGCUGUCAUGCCACAAGGGAGACAGAGCAGCUACAAGUCAGUGAAGCUCAGAACACACAGGGCUGGGGUGAGAAGUCACAGACAGAGGAGUCAUGGUGGUGAUGGGGGAGACAGAGGAGUCAGGGCAAGGUUGGGGGAGACAGACAGAGGGGUCAGGGCAGGAUUGGGUGGCACAGGUGUCUGUAGGGGCCCAGAAGUGGUACCUGUUUCAACCUUGUCAACUCAGGCUGAGUCACCUGAGGGCAAAGUAGGGGGUUUUCAGGGCAGGAUAGGGAGAGUAGGGAGGGAGAAUUCUGGGCAGAGGAAUCCAAGUGCCAAGGCAGUGGAGCAUGGUCGGGUGCUGUUAGGGUGGAAGGAUCUGGGGCCCUGCGCACUGAUGAGGCUGUAGCCAUCAGCAGGGGUCAGACCUGCUGGACCUUAUGUGACUUGGUGGGGAGCUGGACCGUGUCCUAAGAUGAUGGGGAGCCCCAGAAGGGGUGUAGGCAGGGGAAGAAGAUGGUUACAUUUGUGUUUCAGAGGGAUUGUUCAGAUUGUUGGAGAAGCUGAGACUACAGAUGGAGAGACAUAGAAGUAGCUUCUAUAGGCUCCAGGUGACAGAGGACAGGGCCAUGGGCAUGGGGAGGAGGCAUGGGCUGGAGAAAGAUAUGGAAGGACAAACGAAUUCUUCCUUGGUUAUGCGGUGGUUGUGUGGGGUAAGGUGGGGUAGAGCCCAGUGUGGGGGUAGGUGGGAGUGCCAUGUAUGGGUUUGGGGACACAGAUCAGGAGCCGGUUUGAGGCAGGAGACAUGUUGGGGAACCGGGCACAAUCCCUGCUUCUAGGGAUUUCUUAGACUGGUGAGAGAGCAGAUCCGGAUAAACCAAAAUCUUCAAUGAUCCCAUUAGUAUUCAUUAAGAAUUAUUUGUGAUCAUUUACUACUUGGGGUUGAGGAUUGGGAGUGCUUCCUAGAGGCGGUGUCGUUUGAACUGGGUCUUGCAGGAUGAGCUCACAGGUGGGGGAGGAGAGGAGGGCAGGGCAGAGAGAGCCUCACAAGCCAGGCUUGGCCAUGUGAGAUGGUGGGACAGAGCAGACAUCUGUGACCGCUACACCCCCUGCUCCCUCUGCCAUCCUCAUCAAUCAACUUUCUGUCCUCUACCCCCAGCCUGACCCAAACUCCAGAAAAAGCUGGCUCAUGGUCACAAGUGUGCCUGAAAUCUAUGACCCUCUCCCAAAUGAGAUUUUUUGUUUAAUUGAAGUAAAGGGGCACCUUGGCUCUUUCAGUCAGU
Molecule: long non-coding RNA, 1635 nt
Organism: Felis catus (domestic cat)
Lineage: Eukaryota; Metazoa; Chordata; Mammalia; Carnivora; Felidae
Exons: 3
Source: RefSeq, a predicted model, not a curated record